CGCGUAGGCGGCUCGUGAAGUCGGGUGUGAAAGCCCGGGGCUCAACCCCGGAACGGCAUCCGAUACUGGCGGGCUUGAGACCGGGAGAGGAGGGUGGAAUACCCAGUGUAGAGGUGAAAUUCGUAGAUAUUGGGUGGAACACCGGUGGCGAAAGCGGCUCUCUGGCCCGGAUCUGACGCUGAGGCGCGAAAGCGUGGGGAGCAAACA
RNAcentral lists this ribosomal RNA (207 nucleotides) under uncultured bacterium. Its description in RNAcentral is "partial 16S ribosomal RNA". It matches the Rfam family "Bacterial small subunit ribosomal RNA", at positions 568 to 774 of the family's 1533-position model. The record is from RNAcentral.